Molecule: ribosomal RNA, 684 nt
Filed under: uncultured bacterium
Lineage: Bacteria
Description: bacterial SSU rRNA
Rfam family: Bacterial small subunit ribosomal RNA
Source: RNAcentral
AGUCGAGCGGUAGCACAGAGAGCUUGCUCUCGGGUGACGAGCGGCGGACGGGUGAGUAAUGUCUGGGAAACUGCCUGAUGGAGGGGGAUAACUACUGGAAACGGUAGCUAAUACCGCAUAACGUCGCAAGACCAAAGAGGGGGACCUUCGGGCCUCUUGCCAUCAGAUGUGCCCAGAUGGGAUUAGCUAGUAGGUGGGGUAACGGCUCACCUAAGCGACGAUCCCUAGCUGGUCUGAGAGGAUGACCAGCCACACUGGAACUGAGACGCGGUCCAGACUCCUACGGGAGGCAGCAGUGGGGAAUAUUGCACCAUGGGCGCAAGCCUGAUGCAGCCAUGCCGCGUGUAUGAAGAAAGGCCUCGGGUUGUAAAGUACUUUCAGCGGGAAGGGAGGCGAUAAGGUUAAUAACCUUGUCGAUUGACGUUACCCGCAGAAGAAGCACCGGCUAACUCCGUGCCAGCAGCCGCGGUAAUACGGAGGGUGCAAGCGUUAAUCGGAAUUACUGGGCGUAAAGCGCACGCAGGCGGUCUGUCAAGUCGGAUGUGAAAUCCCCGGGCUCAACCUGGGAACUGCAUUCGAAACUGGCAGGCUAGAGUCUUGUAGAGGGGGGUAGAAUUCCAGGUGUAGCGGUGAAAUGCGUAGAGAUCUGGAGGAAUACCGGUGGCGAAGGCGGCCCCCUGGACA